CGAGCUCCGCGAGGCCACCUCUGCGGUUUAUAGGACCCCAGGCAUUGGCUGGCGCUACUAGUGUGCAAACGUCCUGGCAGUCUGGAGAAAAGGCCUGCUGAGUCAAAUGCAGCUGAUGCAAGGGCGGCUGGCAGGGGUUGGGAUGCAGGAGUCCCAGACCGCGGGAUGUUUUGCAACUCAAAUCCUCCCGGGCUGCAGGUAAACACGGUGUUGGACUCCUCCAAGGCCUGAUGGGCCAAGCAGGACAGUUUUUUGUGCUUAAUAUUUUCGCUCUCAUUUGCACACCUGUUCAAACCACCUGCUCCCAGAGAAUGUUCUGCUUUCCUUCUUUAUCCUUUCGUGUCCCCCUCUGCAAGGUCUCUCAGGGCCACCACUCGCUCCCUGACGCUGGGGACUCCCCGAGGAACACAUCACUCCUCUGUUCUCUCCUGAGCACCAGGCUUGUCUGUCCGGCUAUCUCCAGGACAGCCCUCUUCCUGUCCCACAGGGACCGGGCACGGCCCAUGUUUAAAUCUAGACGCAUCAUCUUCCCCGACCCCUUCUGUCCCCAGUCCAGCGAUGGCUCCUCUAAUUCACCAAAUUAUUGACCCCCCUCCCCCACCUUUGCCCUGAGCUUUAAUAUAACUCAACUGGCACUGGUACUAAUCUUGUCAUUAUUUAAAGUUUUGGUAUUUUGUCAUCGUGGGGUAUUUUUUUCUUUAAUUUUGAUUUUAGAAAAUACUGUAUAAAAUAACUAUUUCUCUUUAUGACUGCGCUUUUGGCACCCCCUUAGGUCUUACUGGGGAGAUGAGUGCCUCACUUGCCACACCCUAAUUCUGACCUGACUGGUAAUGUUUUGUAAUCAGGGUGCUGCUCACUCGGGUGUGUCCGUUUGUCAAACUUCAUCGAGCUGUACACUUCCAAUUUUUGCACUUUUCUGUAUGUAUAUUAUGCUUCAAUUAAAAAAUUUAUUAUUAUUAUUUUUUACUUAAAAAAUAAAUCUCUCUCUGGUUUCAA
This is a long non-coding RNA of Eptesicus fuscus (big brown bat), 996 nucleotides long. RefSeq lists it as uncharacterized. NCBI's taxonomy places the organism in Eukaryota, Metazoa, Chordata, Mammalia, Chiroptera, Vespertilionidae. The transcript is spliced from 2 exons. The record is from RefSeq and is a predicted model, not a curated record.